RNAcentral lists this ribosomal RNA (497 nucleotides) under uncultured bacterium. Its description in RNAcentral is "partial 16S ribosomal RNA". It matches the Rfam family "Bacterial small subunit ribosomal RNA", at positions 28 to 507 of the family's 1533-position model. The record is from RNAcentral.
GAUGAACGCUGGCGGCGUGCCUAAUACAUGCAAGUCGAGCGAACGGACGAGAAGCUUGCUUCUCUGAUGUUAGCGGCGGACGGGUGAGUAACACGUGGAGAACCUACCUAUAAGACUGGGAUAACUUCGGGAAACCGGAGCUAAUACCGGAUAAUAUUUUGAACCGCAUGGUUCAAAAGUGAAAGACGGUCUUGCUGUCACUGAUAGAUGGAUCCGCGCUGCAUUAGCUAGUUGGUAAGGUAACGGCUUACCAAGGCAACGAUGCAUAGCCGACCUGAGAGAGUGAUCGGCCACACUGGAACUGAGACACGGUCCAGACUCCUACGGGAGGCAGCAGUAGGGAAUCUUCCGCAAUGGGCGAGAGCCUGACGGAGCAACGCCGCGUGAGUGAUGAAGGUCUUCGGAUCGUAAAACUCUGUUAUUAGGGAAGAACAUAUGUGUAAGUAACUGUGCACAUCUUGACGGUACCUAAUCAGAAAGCCACGGCUAACUACGUG